GACUGAUUACAAGGUUGUAGACACCUGUGAUGCUAAUUAGUGGACACACCUUGAAUUAACAUGUCCCUUUGGUCACAUUAUUUUCAGUGUUUUCUAGGGGUACCAUCAUUUUUGUCCAUGCCUGUUUCAUGAGUUUAUUUUUUAAAAUAAUUCUGUUGAAGCAUGGUUGAACAACAAUGUCUGACUUUCAUUGGUUAACAUUUAUAGAAUUUUUAUUUAUUAUUACUUUUGUCAGAUUAAAGUUUUUUCUGUGACCAUUGUGCGUUUUUCUUUCAUUGAUCGAAGGGUACCAACAAUUUUGUCCACGUCUGUAUACACACACUGAGCAUGGUAGAAAUGCAUUUCCUCCUUUUUUCACAUUUUGAAAACGUAAAUUUUCUCAUCCAAUGGAGAGAGACCUCGUCCUACUCUGAGGCCGUUCCCCAGUUGUCGUCGUAUUGGUAGGAAGUUCUCCCUGCAAAUCCUGAACCACCACCCCCACAAUGGUCCCGAACCAAAACUGGACUUCCGCCAUUUCCCCCAUCUCAUUUAUCGUGAACAGACGAGCACAGCAGCGUCCAAGUGCUCCCAUAGAAAGUGUUCAGUUCUUGGGUGUUUUAACCAACACCAAAGUCUCUUCACUUUACCAAGGGAUCAACAAGUGAGGACUUGUCACUUUUAUUUUUAACGGACCGGUGCCAGAAACACUGCCUCAGCAUUUAUACGUAUGUGCAUUUCAAACAAGGGUGCGCACAAUGCUGGAUAUCUUUCACGGCUCCUGUUGGAAAUAACGGAUUUCUUCCUAAAGUCCCUUAUUCACUCACUGAUGUAAGUAAAUGCUUGAUACUUAAAUGUUUUAAAAUGCUAAUUUGUCUAUUUAAAAUGUAGUAACCUAUGUGUGAGGCGCGUUAGUUAGUUAGCUAGCUAUGCUAACGGCUACAGCCAGAUGACCAAGCCUUUGUUCCCUUCAAAUGUGCUCAUGUGGGCUCCUGCAGCCACACACCUGUGUGGAGAAAAGCUAAUUGCUAUCGGCAUCGAGCGGCUACAGGCAGGGAGCGGUGGGUCUAGCGUUUGUCCUUUUUCUGUAAUCGCAUACACCUGCGGGAAACAGAUAAUCGUUAUCGCCCUUCCAGCGGCGACAGACAGGAAGCGGUGGAUCUAGCUCAUUGUAGUAUGUUUGUGCUUGAUACUUGUGAUGUCUUAAUAUGUUAGUUGUUUUUUUUUAAAUGUGGUAUCCCACAUGUGAGACAAGCUAAUCACUAGCGUUGCUAACGGCUACAGUGAGUCAACCGAGCCUUUGUCCCUUUCAAAUCUGCUACUCUGAGAUGGCGCAGUCACACACCUGUGUGGGGAACAGCUAAUAGCGAUGGGCCUUCGAUCGGCGACAGGCAGGAAGCGGUGGAUCGAGCUUUUGUCCUGUUGACGUGCUGCCGCUCCUGUUUGUGUGUUGCGUUAGCCGUUAGCAUGCCUUUAGGAGCUACAGCUGGUUGAUCGCUACAAUAAGAAACUGCAGAUGAACGCGGUUAUGUUUGUUAUUACCCCGUCCUGUGUCACAGCCUAAAUCAACUUGUGAUUUGGGCUUAUGUCAUUGUUCUAUUAAAUUCUAACAUGAUUUGAUUACGGUGUUGUGUUGCAAGCUUAGUUGCCAAUUAGUCACAUCUCUACAAGAACUGCUGCUUAUCUGGUCAGUAACCUAUAGCUUGUACCAUAGCCAUUAUAUUUGUAGGACCAAUACAAUUUACAGUAAAUUUAACAUUGUCUUUUCUAUACUGUAGGGGGACACAUUCCAGUUACCCACAUGCAAGGAGGCUGUCAAACAGAAAUCACUGCAGACUGUUGGUACACAGCCAUCUGCUGCCCAGAUCAGGAGUGAAGUACCUUUUGUUUUGAUGAGGUGAUGGUGAGGACAGCCACAGCUUCCAUCUGGUAGAGGACUGCUUCCGCUCAGUCUUCCAAAUAGUGAUGAGAACAAGGAUCACCACAUCUCCCUGGUCAUCUAUUUACAACUAUAGCUGUCCUGCUGCAGAAACAAAUCUCCAACAUAACCAUGUCCUACCCAGGACAUGGACUGUUUACCCCACUUCCAUCAAGCAUUUAAUAUUCAAGGCCCUGCAAAAGCUUCUGUCUUUAUACCCCCAGACUUCUUAAUUAAUGUGUGUAUGAAGGUAACAGUUUGUUCUAGCUUUGGAGUAGUGGUACAUUUUUUUGGUUGACAAUAAAGUUGGCUUUAACUAUUAGGUAUUUCACUGAACUCUGUUUCUGAAGGAAAACACUUUUAUUCAGGGAAUCAUAGAAAGAGAAAAACCAUGUAAUUUCAAUACUAAUACAGUAAGCUAUGAAGUUGAACCAGCCAUAAAUAAAAAGCAUAUAAAUUAUAUAUAAAUUAAAAGUAGUAUUGCACUCACAAAAAACACAUAUUUACUCAAAUGGUAAAGGAGUUAUUCCACAGGUGGUCUACAUCCAUCAUAAAAUGAAAAAAAAAAUAAAUAAAAAAAAAUAAAUGUUUUAUCCAUCAAGAAACUCUGCCUU
Molecule: long non-coding RNA, 2508 nt
Organism: Betta splendens (Siamese fighting fish)
Lineage: Eukaryota; Metazoa; Chordata; Actinopteri; Anabantiformes; Osphronemidae
Exons: 2
Source: RefSeq, a predicted model, not a curated record